CCCCUCCUCAGCCCCGUCCCCUCUUCAGCCCCAUCACCCUUCUUCAGCCCUGUCCCCUUAGUCAGCCCUGCCCCCCCUCAUCAGCCCUGUCCCCUCUCCUCAGUCCUGUCCCCUUAAUCUGCCCCUGUCACCUACCUCAGCCCCUGUCCCCCCUCCUCAACUCCUGUCCCCUAAGUCAGCCCCUUUCACCCUUGUCCCUUUGCUCAGCCCCUGUCCCCCUCCUCAGCCCUGUCCCCGUCCUGUCCCUCCCUGACCCCUCCUCCUGUCCUUCAGCCCCUGUCCCCCCUCCUCAGCCAGCCCCUUCCCCCUCCUCAACUCUUGUCCCCAAACCACGGCCCCUUUCCCAAAUUGUAGCCAUCAACCUGCUUCAGCCCCUACCCCCCCUACAUUUCCUAAACAUCCAAUUACAGCAUAUACCCUCCACUACAGCCCCUGUCCCCCCACUACAGCCCUGUCCCCUUACUCAGCCCCUGUCUACUGUUUUUUUAAAGUGUAAAGUAUGGGUGUAUGUGUAUGUCUGUGUGUGUCAGUAUGUCUGUGUGUGUGCGCGUCAGUAUAUCUGUGUGUGUGUGCGCCAGUAUGUUUGUCUGUGUGUGCGCCAGUAUGUCUGUGUGUGUGCUCCAGUAUGUCUGUGUGUGUGUGUGUGCGCCAGUAUGUCUGUGUGUGUGUGUGUUUGUGCCAGUUUGUCUGUGUGUGUGUGUCAGUAUGUCUGUCUGUCUGAGUCAGUAUGCCUGUAACAGUGUGUCUUUCAGUGUGUCUGUGUGCCUGUCAGUGAGUGAGCGCGUGUGCCUGCCAGUGAGUGUGUGUUUUUUUAGUGUGUGCCAAAUCAGCAAGUAUGUGUGUGUGCCUGUCAUUGAGUGUUUGUUUGGGUGACUGCCCCACCCCUCCCCCCCCUUUCAAUCACAUGGGAAAGGUGUUUAUACUCUCCUCUUGGUGCAAUGGGCCACUUGACUGGAUUUGCCCCAGAGGCCUGAGGCUGCCAGCCCUCCCCUGGACGCUUCCAUGUUUGGACUGGAGGCUGUGCUGAGCCAAGUCAGGGAGGAUGGAGAGAGAGCACCCUGUCGCAUACCUGAGUCGAAAACUGCUACCCCGGGAAGUGAGCUACACGGCAGUGGAGAAGGAACGUUUGGCCCUGGUUUGGGCACUCAAAAAGUUAAGCUCCUAUCUGUACGGACAGGAAUUUUCACUUGUCACCGACCACAACCCAUUGGUCUGGCUUAACCGGGUCUCAGGAGACAAUGGCACAAUGGCAUUGCUACGGUGGAGCCCAGCCCUGCAACCUUACAACUUUUAUUAUCAGCUACCGACCCGGUAAGCAAAACAGCAAUGCUGAUGGGUUGUCCCGGCAAACAGACAUCACUCCGGCCUCCUAGUUCCAGACAUCCCCAAGUUGACCCGAGAAGGGUCAAGCCGGGUCUGCCAGAGUGUCCCACAAGGAGGGAGCCAUGUGACAGAACCAUUGUAUGUGAUGGAUAAGAAC
Molecule: non-coding RNA, 1480 nt
Organism: Pelobates cultripes (western spadefoot toad)
Lineage: Eukaryota; Metazoa; Chordata; Amphibia; Anura; Pelobatidae
Source: the annotation of a GenBank genome assembly